GGGUAGAGUAAUGCGUGACCAACCUGCCCCAUGCUCCAGAAUAGCUCUUGGAAACGGGUGGUAAUGCUGGAUGCUCCAACUUGACGCAUGUCUUGUUGGGAAAGUGUUUAGUGGCAUGGGAUGGGGUCGCGUCCUAUCAGCUUGUAGGCGGGGUAAUGGCCCACCUAGGCUUCGACGGGUAGCCGGCCUGAGAGGGCGGACGACCACAUUGGGACUGAGAUACGGCCCAGACUCCUACGGGAGGCAGCAGCC
RNAcentral lists this ribosomal RNA (252 nucleotides) under uncultured Gardnerella sp. RNAcentral describes it as "partial 16S ribosomal RNA". It matches the Rfam family "Bacterial small subunit ribosomal RNA", at positions 100 to 355 of the family's 1533-position model. Lineage: Bacteria; Bacillati; Actinomycetota; Actinomycetes; Bifidobacteriales; Bifidobacteriaceae. The record is from RNAcentral.